Molecule: transfer RNA, 72 nt
Filed under: Kosakonia phage Kc304
Lineage: Duplodnaviria; Heunggongvirae; Uroviricota; Caudoviricetes; Pantevenvirales; Straboviridae
Description: tRNA-Gly
Rfam family: tRNA
About the family: Transfer RNA (tRNA) molecules are approximately 80 nucleotides in length. Their secondary structure includes four short double-helical elements and three loops (D, anti-codon, and T loops).
Source: RNAcentral
GCGUCUAUAGUAUAAUGGAAUUAUGCCUGGCUUCCACCCAGGAUAUGGUGAGUUCAAUUCUCCCUAGACGCU